CCUACGGGUGGCAGCAGUGAGGAAUAUUGGUCAAUGGGCGCGAGCCUGAACCAGCCAAGUCGCGUGAAGGAUGACUGCCCUACGGGUUGUAAACUUCUUUUAUAAAGGAAUAAAGUGAGGCACGUGUGCCUUUUUGUAUGUACUUUAUGAAUAAGGAUCGGCUAACUCCGUGCCAGCAGCCGCGGUAAUACGGAGGAUCCGAGCGUUAUCCGGAUUUAUUGGGUUUAAAGGGUGCGUAGAUGGGUUGAUAAGUCAGUUGUGAAAGUUGGCGGCUCAACCCUAAAAUUGCAGUUGAUACUGGCAGUCUUGAGUGCAGUUGAGGUAGGCGGAAUGCGUGGUGUAGCGGUGAAAUGCUUAGAUAUCACGAAGAACUCCGAUUGCGAAGGCAGCUUACUAAACUACAACUGACGUUGAUGCUCGAAAGUGUGGGUAUCAAACAGGAUUAGAUACCCUUGUAGUC
This 460-nucleotide ribosomal RNA is filed under the name uncultured bacterium. RNAcentral describes it as "partial 16S ribosomal RNA". It matches the Rfam family "Bacterial small subunit ribosomal RNA", at positions 338 to 795 of the family's 1533-position model. The record is from RNAcentral.